Long non-coding RNA from Solanum dulcamara, 6217 nucleotides. RefSeq lists it as uncharacterized. The record is from RefSeq and is a predicted model, not a curated record. The transcript is spliced from 3 exons. NCBI's taxonomy places the organism in Eukaryota, Viridiplantae, Streptophyta, Magnoliopsida, Solanales, Solanaceae.
GGGUGGGGUGUGUGUUGGAAGGUGGGGAGGAAAUAAUUAUUGUGGAAUUCCAUUCGUGGUACUAGUAGGGAAGUCAUUUUCCUUAUUUUAAGGAACUUGUUUAAAAUUUUGAACAACCAAACAUGCGACAAUUGGAAAGCAUUUUCUGGAAAAUAAUUUUCUGUACCAAACACACCCUUAGGGUUCGUUUGGUUUGGAGACAAGUUAUGCAGGUGGAUGAGUAUAAUUGACGGCUUGAAAGAGGCAAUGAUGAUUUUUUAAAAUCUUUUAUUCCCUCAUGAGCUCACUAGCAGGGAUUAUCCGACCUGUAUCUUUGCGGAGCUUGCCCCCAGAGUCUGGUGGUUCUUGCAGCCAUGGCGUUGUUGGAAUCUUUUGCUGAGCUUAAACAAAGCAAAAGCUCAGAAGUGAAAGAAUGAGACUACAGGGAGUUUAGGAUUUCUGUUGAAAGGGUGGUUGCCUCUCUCUGCAUUUGCCAAUGAUUUCUCCAUUAGUGUAAGAAUCCAAACAUCCCUUUUAUCAAUCUUACCGAGGAAGUACUAUUAAGGGUUUCAUACCCUUCCAUGCUAACUAUGCUAAUACCAUUCAUUUGUUUUUUCAUAUGCUUCCGCUGGACUGUUGAAUGUUGUCGGUGGUGGCAGUGGAAGUGGUGAGUAUAUUCAAAUGGCUUGAAAGAGAUGAUAAGAGGCGAUGAUGAUUUUGUCAAAUUACUAUCCUCUUUUGAGCUAAUUAAUUGUGCAUUUGAGUAUCUGACCCGUAUCUUGGCAGGGCAUACUCCCAGAUUUUCUGAUUGUUUUUGCAGCCAUGGCAUUGUCGGACUCUUGUUUUGCCCCAGCUUAAUACAGCUCUGAGCCCCAUUUUCUCUAUGUCAGUCUGGAAAGUGUUCUAUAUAUAGGGUUUGUUUGGUUAGAGACUGAUUUGAGUUCUGCAGAUGAUGGUGAGUAUAAUUGAUGGCUUGAAAGAGGCGAUGAUGAUUUUUUAAAUCUUUUAUACCUUUGUGAGCUUAUCAUUCGGACAUUUGAGAUUAUCCUAUCCAUAUCUUGGCGGGGCAUGCCCCAGAGUUUCUCGUGGUUAUUGCAGCCUACUAGUUUGAGAUGAGAUGUAGUUGUUGAUGUUGUCUUGGGUAAUGGAAGGAUUUGACCUCGUGACUUGCUAAUUCUCAAGUUGAUUUCUCUCCUUGUCCAUUCAUGGAGCUCAAAAACCCUUAUAUUUAUUCACUGAUUUUUACCAUGGUGUUCUAGUAGUGGAUACAGCUUUAUGACCGGAUAUAGAUUUGGAAUGGACUUUUGAUAGGCAAAAAUUAAUGUGCAAUUGGUUGGGGGUGCAAAAUGCAAAGAACUCUAAAAAUAGUGAAAAUCUCAUUAGUUUGAGUCAGAGGCUGCAGUGAAAGCAGAGAACGGUGGGGAGUUUCAAUGAUUUUGCCACUGCCAUUCUUGGCCUCUGAUGAUCAUUCAUGAAAAAACUUUAUGAAUGCAAAGCCACCCUUUGGUGAAAAUAUAUAUUACCUCUCAUUUUUCUUUUCUUCCUACUCCCUCUGGUCCAUUUAAUCUGCAAUGAGCAUGUGAAGAUUUUGUCUUAUGUUUAAUCAGACAUUGUUAUCUUGAGCUGAAAAAACUAUAUCUUUGCGUGACAGCUCAGAUAGGUCUGUGAGAUAUUGGAGAAAAAUCCUUUUUCUUGGUCCUUCUGUUUCAUUAGGCUAGCUGAUGCCCGCAGCCAUGUCAGUUUUGGAAGCAUUUGGGUUUUGUCUUAGUAAAGGUGAAUCUGAGCCUACCUGAUUUCAUUGAUUUUAUUAAAAGUAUGUGGUUCUUGUGACAAUGCAGGAAUUCCUAAGGGAGUUUGCUAUGCUUCUUUGGGAGUUCCAUUGGCAAUGAAAACCCUUUGGUUCUAUUGUCAUCGCCAGCCCUUGCACCAGGAAUUGCUGAUCUCAUGCAUUUUCUUUUUCUUUUUGUUUAUUGCUUCCCCUCGGAGUAUUUAGUGCUUCUGGUGGCGGUGAGUAUAAUUAACAUCUUAAAAGAGGCGAGUGAUGAUUUUAUCAAUCUUUAUUCCCUUGAACUUAUUAAUCUGGCAUUUGAGAUUAUUUGAUCAGUAUCAUGAUGGGGCAUGCUGCCAGGUCUCCCUUGGUGGUUUUGCAGCCAUGGCGGCACCAGAAUCUCCUUUUGCCCGAGCUAUAACAUAGAUCUGAACCUCAAUUUGUUCAAAAAUGGAAAUAUUUAUGCUGAUCUUGGAACUCCUGCCAAAUUCUCGGCAGCAGAAGUUACUCUGGUCCAAGGAAAAAAAAACAUGCUUUGGUUGAUCUAUUUAUCUGUUAACUCUUUGACCGAGGUGACCCUCUCUGUCAUUCUUUGCUGUCAAUGAUAACUUAUAUAAAAAAAUUCAAUUAUAGAACCACUCUUAUGGUUAAAAUGCACAUGACCUCCAUACUUUUCUUCCUCUCUUACUCCUUCAGUUCCAUUUAUAAACAAUGGGGUGGUGAAGAAUUUGGUUUCUGUAAAGUUGAAUCAGACAUAAUCUUCUCCUGAGAUGAAAAAACUGUAUCUUGGUGUGGCAGCUCAGAUGGGCUGUGAGAAAUUGGUGGAACUUUUCUUUUUUGGCGUUUCUUAUCUGUCUCAUAAGGCUUACUGAUGCGUGCAGCGAUGACAUGCUUUUGUUUUUUUGUCUGAGAGAAGGCAAAUCUGUUUCCCUUUACCUUGAUUGUGCUAAAAAGAAUGAGGCCAUUACUGAUGCUUGCAGCCUUCAUUUUUGGUGGUUGUGCUGUUCCUCUGAAAUUUGAUUGUCUAUUUACACUUUUGUUCUUUUUUGAUCAACGAGCCUUGCAUCAGGAAAUGAUAAUGAUGACGAUCAUAAAAAUCAGUCCUCGGAGGCCAUGUGCAUCUUAAUGAUGGCAUUGACUAUAUGAACCUUUAUGUCAUUCUUCUCUAAAAUCCUGAACUUAGUGAAUGAAGCUGUGGUAAUCUUAUCCAGCAAGCUUGAAUUUUGAAGUCAGAGACAUUUGAGCUGAUUUUUAUAUUUACUUGGCAAAUUUUGGGGGAACUUUUGAGUCGGUUUUAUUUCUCUCUCAUAAAGCUUCUGCUAUUUGCAGCUUUGUCAGAUUAGCCUUUUUCUGACAGUUUAGACAAAUCCAUGCCUCAUUUCUGUGCAACUCUCCGUUCCUCCUACAAUCCGGUAGAUUCUUUUUUCCUGGUCCCGAGGUAUCUGCAUUUUACAUAUUUAUCUCCCUCUUAUUACGAGACCAAAAAUAUAUGAAUCUGGAUCUGCAUUAACCAUUCAGUUCCAUUUGUCCCAUCUCAUCCAAUGUUGAAUAUUUCCGGGACUUUUCUAACACUAGAAGUUCCCUGCAUUUUUAACUGACUCCAUAGGCACUGGACUUAAUGCAAGGGUACUAACGUGACUAAGUCUUUAUCUCUGUUUUUCAAUUGAAGUGCAUGUGUUUAUCCCCUAAUUUGAUGCCCUUUUCUAUAUCUUGAUAGUCCAAAAAUUCCGAGGCUAUGAAGAUUAUCUUAAAAAAGACUGAAAAACAUUUGAGUUAAUUCCAAGGCCUGGCUUGGCAAAGACAACCUUGAAGGUCUGUGAAGGAGGAUGAGAAAUAAUAAGUUUCUUGUAGUCCCUUCUCACGAGGCAACCAAUCUUUGCAGCCAUGGCUGUUUUAGCUCUGCGCUUUGAUUAAAUAGGCGAAAAUCUGAGUCUCCUUACCUCAGUUUAACUUACGUUUCAUGAUUUGAUCACUGAAACAGUAUAUGUUGGGAGCUUUCUUGAAUUUGAUCUAAAAAUUAAGUUAUUGCUUUUCAGUGUUAAACUGAUUUUAUUUUUUUCAAAGAUGUGGUGGGAUAAUUCGGUUUUCAUGAAAAGAGUGGCAAACAAUGGCAUGGUCUCGAGUUUUGAUGCCUUCAUGUCUCCACUAAUUCAUUUCUGAAAUUUGAUGACUGGUCCCAAACAAGAGUUGAUUGCAAACACAGGUGACGGUGAAUGUUGAUAGUAAAGUAAAACUACUUUUAGUUUCAAUUGAGAAGUCUAUCUAAAGUAUGAUCAGUAAUAAACAUGGCAUAUUGGUCUUUCUUUUUCAUUUUCAGUUACCCUACUGUUAAGCAGUACUAACUUCUAUACAUCAUGAGUAUAUUUCUUAUAAAGAAGCCCUCAUAUUGGCUAUGCAUGGUUCUUCUGUAUUGUUCUAGCACUCUUUUGUAAGUUGGAAUGUCUUCAAGUCUUAAUAUCACGGGACUUCUACUUGACAUGCUCAAAGCCCCUUGUUGCAAGGUCUUCAGCAUCUUGAAGACAAGAAGUUACAGGUAUUAGUACUACCUGCUGUUAUGAUAAAUUGUUAGGUGAAGGAUGAAGCUAGAUUCUAGUAUGCCUAAGUAUUAAAAUGCUGAACUUUUGCCUUAGAAUUCUAAGAGGUCAAUCUUUCUCACGCUCUUGCUAGCAGUGCCUUGAUUCUUCACUAAUAAUCACUGGACAUUUAGCUGCAGCAGGUGUAAAAUAGGGAGGGAGGGGUAUUGAGAAUUAGUAUUAUUUUAAUUUCGUUGUAUUAGAAUAUUUGAUGUUUAGACUUCUCUUUUUGCAUUGUUCUGUAGCAUAUGAUAUUUGGAACUGUUCUUCUCUAUUUUUGGAAUAGCCUCGGUCAAGCCUAACAGCAUCAAGGAAGCAUGUGAAAGCUGGUGUUCAUGGGAAGUUGGAAAAUCCAUCACAAAGGUUUGGGAAAUGGUACCUGCUGCUAUAUUUUGGUGCAUCUGGAAUGAAUGGAAUCGUAGAUGUUUUGAUGAGAUUUCAACACCUACACAUGUACUCAAAGCAAAAUGCUUACUGUUUUUGUUUAGUUGGCUCCAACAGGCCCUUGUAAUUCUUGCUUGCUUCUUCUGGAUGCCUUUAAUGAAUUACCCUUGCUUCAUCAAAAAAGUAUUGCAGGUCAAACCGAAAAUCCCCAAGAAAUAUUCUUCUUUUUUGAUCUGAGUUGCUCAUCCUGAUGCUGUAGUUUUUUUGGAGGAGAUCAGCUGAAGACUAUAGCUGAGUGCAAACUACAUCUUCUUGGCACUCCAUUGGAGAUAAAGAGAAGGAACACUUACCAUGGACCAUGGUCUGCUGUGGCUGUAAAAAGUACAUCCUCUUUACCGGGGAAAAGCUCAAAAGGCAGAGAUGAGGUUACAGAGACUCAGAGAGUUCAGGAUUUUUGUUGAAAUGGGUGGUUGCCUUCUCUGCAUUAGCCUAUGAUUUCUCCAUUACUGUCAGAAGGCCAACAACCCUUUCUUUGCUCUUUUUGAUUAAGGAGCGGUCUCAAAAAUAUCUAUCUGUGGCAUAUACAGCCAAACCUCUAUAUAACAGUCAAUACUCUCUAACAACAUUUUGCUAUAGCAGCAACCUCUAUAUAACAGUCAAUACUCUCUAACAACAUUUUGCUAUAGCAGCUAAAAAUUGUUCGGAUAAGUGACUGUUGUAGAGAGAUUAGACUGUAUUCCUUUUCAGAGAGAGUAUCAAUCAAUAUGCAUUUGGAGUUUGGACAUAUUUGUGUUGAAACUUAAAGGGGUUUUCCUGGCCUUGCAUGAUGUAUGCUAAAACCAUGUUUAUUUGUCCGUCUUUCUUUCUUUCUUUUAUGCUAUCGCCUCUUUGCUGGAGCAUUUAAUGCUGCCAACGGUUGUGACUGAGUAUAAUCGGCAGUUAAAAGAGGCAGAGAUGAAUUUUGUGAUCUAUUCAUUCCCUUUUGAGCAUAUUAAUUGGGCAUUUGAGGUUCUCCGACCCAUAUCUUGGUGGGAUAUGAUCGUAGAUUUUCCUGGUGGUAUUUGCAGCCAUGACAUUGUCGGAUCUCUUUUCUCCUGAGCUGUAACACAGAUACGAGCCUCAAUUUCUGGGAAAAUGGAAAUAUUUGACCCGAUUUUGGAACUCCAGCAAAUUCUCAGCUGCUGAUUGCUCAGUUACGGUGUCUUUACAGGCAAAAAGCUCAGAAGGGAGAGAAUGAGGCUAUACAGAGUUACAGUAAUGGAGAAAUCCUAGGCUAAUACAGAGAGAGGCAUAUACAGUGAUAUAUCUAUUACAGGCAUCCUCCAUAAUAACAAUUCGCCAUAGCUGCUAAGAAAUAUCUAGAAAAAUGUCGUCGUUAUAGAGAAGUUUGACUGUAUUCCCUUUCAGAGGGAGUAAAUUAGUAUGCAUUUGGAGUUUGGACAAUAUUUGUAUAUUGUUCUGUUCUUUGUUGUUAAUUCUCCCUUAGUUAAUAGAGUGUUAUUUUGAGGCUUGA